UACGGAGGAUGCAAGCGUUAUCCGGAAUGAUUGGGCGUAAAGCGUCCGCAGGUGGCUAUGUAAGUCUGCUGUUAAAGAGUGAGGCUCAACCUCAUAAGAGCAGUGGAAACUACAUGGCUAGAGUGCGUUCGGGGCAGAGGGAAUUCCUGGUGUAGCGGUGAAAUGCGUAGAUAUCUGGAGGAACACCGGUGGCGAAGGCGGCAUCCUGGACCGGUAUUGACGCUGAGGCGCGAAAGCCAGGGGAGCAAACGGG
Molecule: ribosomal RNA, 253 nt
Filed under: uncultured bacterium
Lineage: Bacteria
Description: partial 16S ribosomal RNA
Rfam family: Bacterial small subunit ribosomal RNA
Source: RNAcentral